UAAUACGGAGGGUGCAAGCGUUAAUCGGAAUCACUGGGCGUAAAGCGCACGUAGGCGGCUUGGUCAGUCAGAUGUGAAAGCCCUGGGCUCAACCUGGGAACGGCAUUUGAUACUGCCAGGCUCGAGUCUAAGAGAGGGGGGUGGAAUUCCAGGUGUAGCGGUGAAAUGCGUAGAGAUCUGGAGGAACACCAGUGGCGAAGGCGGCCCCCUGGCUUAAGACUGACGCUGAGGUGCGAAAGCGUGGGGAGCAAACAGG
Molecule: ribosomal RNA, 256 nt
Filed under: uncultured bacterium
Lineage: Bacteria
Description: partial 16S ribosomal RNA
Rfam family: Bacterial small subunit ribosomal RNA
Source: RNAcentral